GACGAACGCUGGCGGCGUGCCUAACACAUGCAAGUCGAGCGGAGAUGUACUGAAGAUUUAUCGGAUGUACAUCUUAGCGGCGGACGGGUGAGUAACGCGUGGGCAACCUGCCUUCCACUGGGGGAUAACACAGGGAAACCUGUGCUAAUACCGCAUGACAUCACAUAGGGCAUCCUGUGUGAUCAAAGGAGUGAUCCGGUGGAAGAUGGGCCCGCGUCCGAUUAGCUAGUUGGUGAGGUAACGGCUCACCAAGGCGACGAUAGGUAGCCGGCCUGAGAGGGUGAACGGCCACACUGGAACUGAGACACGGUCCAGACUCCUACGGGAGGCAGCAGUGGGGGAUAUUGCACAAUGGAGGAAACUCUGAUGCAGCGACGCCGCGUGAGUGAAGAAGGCCUUCGGGUCGUAAAGCUCUGUCCUAGGGGAAGAUAAUGACGGUACCCUAGGAGGAAGCCCCGGCUAACUACGUG
This 470-nucleotide ribosomal RNA is filed under the name uncultured bacterium. RNAcentral's name for it is "bacterial SSU rRNA". It matches the Rfam family "Bacterial small subunit ribosomal RNA", at positions 28 to 507 of the family's 1533-position model. The record is from RNAcentral.